UAGUCCACGCCGUAAACGAUGUCAACUAGCCGUCGGGCUCAUUAUAAGGGUUUGGUGGCGCAGCUAACGCGAUAAGUUGACCGCCUGGGGAGUACGCCGGCAACGGUAAAACUCAAAGGAAUUGACGGGGCCCGCACAAGCGGUGGAGCAUGUGGUUUAAUUCGAUGCAACGCGAAGAACCUUACCUACACUUGACAUGCUGAGAAGUUACUAGAGAUAGUUUCGUGCCUUCGGGAACUCAGACACAGGUGCUGCAUGGCUGUCGUCAGCUCGUGUCGUGAGAUGUUGGGUUAAGUCCCGCAACGAGCACAACCCUUGUCUUUAGUUGCCAUCAUUCAGUUGGGCACUUUAAAGAGACUGCCGGUGACAAACCGGGNGGAAGGUAAGGAUGACGUCAAGUCAGCAUGCCCCUUAUGCUCUGGGGCUACACACGUGCUACAAUGGUCGUGACAAAGAGUUGCUACUCUGUGAAGACAAAGCUAAAUCU
This 487-nucleotide ribosomal RNA is filed under the name uncultured bacterium. RNAcentral describes it as "bacterial SSU rRNA". It matches the Rfam family "Bacterial small subunit ribosomal RNA", at positions 791 to 1274 of the family's 1533-position model. The record is from RNAcentral.